GGUCAAGUGAAUAAGGGCAUACGGUGGAUGCCUUG
This 35-nucleotide ribosomal RNA is filed under the name Acidithiobacillus ferrooxidans. Its description in RNAcentral is "partial 23S ribosomal RNA". RNAcentral also lists the same sequence under 3 other names. The record is from RNAcentral. Lineage: Bacteria; Pseudomonadati; Pseudomonadota; Acidithiobacillia; Acidithiobacillales; Acidithiobacillaceae.